GAGUUUGAUCGUGGCUCAGAUUGAACGCUGGCGGCAUGCCUUACACAUGCAAGUCGAACGGCAGCACGGGAGCUUGCUCCUGGUGGCGAGUGGCGAACGGGUGAGUAAUGCAUCGGAACGUAUCCUGGAGUGGGGGAUAACGUAGCGAAAGUUACGCUAAUACCGCAUAUUCUGUGAGCAGGAAAGCGGGGGACCUUCGGGCCUCGCGCUCUUGGAGCGGCCGAUGUCGGAUUAGCUAGUUGGUGAGGUAAAGGCUC
This 257-nucleotide ribosomal RNA is filed under the name bacterium enrichment culture clone ALO1_GLFRUDD03FZ3HV. RNAcentral describes it as "partial 16S ribosomal RNA". It matches the Rfam family "Bacterial small subunit ribosomal RNA", at positions 9 to 266 of the family's 1533-position model. The record is from RNAcentral.